CUUCUAGACUCGGCCCUCCUAGAGGUGCUCCAGCAUGGGGUCAGGCUUAGUCUUAGCAGGAGCGGAGAUUCAGGGAAAGCCUCGGCGCUGAGAAGCUUCGAGCCCAUCGUAGCCGACCUCAACGCCGGCCAGGGACGCGUGCGACGCGCAGGGACCUCGAGCACUGGGGAAGCUUCAGUCGGGUGCUCAAGAAGAGCGCGGGACCCAUGAAGGGGCUCGCACCAACCGAGCCCGCAUCAGUUGGGUGCACAAAAGAACGUGCACGAGGCUUCAUCCCCGGGAGGAGUUCAGAUCUUUGGGUCCGGUGAACCCGGAUCCG
Molecule: long non-coding RNA, 319 nt
Filed under: Elaeis guineensis (African oil palm)
Lineage: Eukaryota; Viridiplantae; Streptophyta; Magnoliopsida; Arecales; Arecaceae
Description: long non-coding RNA (EGUI_LNC020391)
Source: RNAcentral